RNAcentral lists this ribosomal RNA (506 nucleotides) under uncultured bacterium. Its description in RNAcentral is "partial 16S ribosomal RNA". It matches the Rfam family "Bacterial small subunit ribosomal RNA", at positions 29 to 523 of the family's 1533-position model. The record is from RNAcentral.
AGUGAACGCUGGCGGUAGGCCUAACACAUGCAAGUCGAACGGCAGCACAGGAGAGCUUGCUCUCUGGGUGGCGAGUGGCGGACGGGUGAGGAAUACAUCGGAAUCUACUCUGUCGUGGGGGAUAACGUAGGGAAACUUACGCUAAUACCGCAUACGACCUACGGGUGAAAGCAGGGGACCUUCGGGCCUUGCGCGAUUGAAUGAGCCGAUGUCGGAUUAGCUAGUUGGCGGGGUAAAGGCCCACCAAGGCGACGAUCCGUAGCUGGUCUGAGAGGAUGAUCAGCCACACUGGAACUGAGACACGGUCCAGACUCCUACGGGAGGCAGCAGUGGGGAAUAUUGGACAAUGGGCGCAAGCCUGAUCCAGCUAUACCGCGUGGGUGAAGAAGGCCUUCGGGUUGUAAAGCCCUUUUGUUGGGAAAGAAGUCCAGCUGGCUAAUACCCGGUUGGGAUGACGGUACCCAAAGAAUAAGCACCGGCUAACUUCGUGCCAGCAGCCGCGGUAA